CUUUUGCUGUAACAAAAUGAUUUUACACAUGGAUGGAAGCUGUUAUGAGGAGCUCAUGUUCUGAAACUUCCAACUGUUCUCAACAUGACCCAAAUUCUCCUUCCAGCACUGAUUCAGUUUCCAACUUAUAACUCAAUUAGGAGUUUCAUGUCUCAACAAUUGGACGAUGUAUUGGAAUGUGAUAUUAUUUGGCUAUACCAGGUCCUUUUACAGUAGUUAUCACUGUCGUUUUUUUCGGGAGUAAUUGGGGUGUAGACACUAUCUCCAACUCAGUCACUUUUCAAGGCAUAGGGCUGUCUUCGUUCGUCUUCUUUCCCGAUCGAGAAAAUCCCACUAUCAUAGAUGGACCUAUUAUAGUGACUUUCUUUUUACCACCAGCAAAUCAUACAAAUCCUAUUGUGAACUUAUUUUCACCACCAAUGUAAAAACUAUCGUAGUAGUAGUGGAAAAAAAAAUAUAAUAUGUAAGGCAUGUACUCUCAAUAAUAGUAGAAUAAUAUGUAUGUAAAUAUUGAAAAUAAUAAUGUAAGAUAUGAGUAGUUUAUAAUUAUGUAUAUAUUUUUGUAAAUAUUUUAAGA
Molecule: non-coding RNA, 577 nt
Organism: Cajanus cajan (pigeon pea)
Lineage: Eukaryota; Viridiplantae; Streptophyta; Magnoliopsida; Fabales; Fabaceae
Source: RefSeq, a predicted model, not a curated record